This 305-nucleotide long non-coding RNA is filed under the name Vigna radiata. RNAcentral describes it as "long non-coding RNA (VRAD_LNC004618)". Lineage: Eukaryota; Viridiplantae; Streptophyta; Magnoliopsida; Fabales; Fabaceae. The record is from RNAcentral.
UGUUAGGAUUCAUUUUAAUCUGCCAUUGCAUUCAUUUUGAACUCUAAAUUGUUUGCUGCAUCACUGGUGUCAUAACUGUCUUGCAUGUGAUUAUUGAUUUCAUGGUCUGAUUGAGUUGUGAUCCUCUUUCUAAUUGCAUUGAGAAAAUAGUUUUCCAACUUUGUUCAGACUUAUUGUUGCAUACUGUUGCAUGAUACCUAGUUUACUUGUGGUAUAACUGUGCAUGAAUUCAUCUGUUUUAGGAAACUAAUCUUGUACAUUCACUUAUUUGACUGCAACUAAUGUGGUGGUAAAAGGUAUUGAGA